Phrynosoma platyrhinos (Desert horned lizard) is the source of this 72-nucleotide non-coding RNA. The record is from the annotation of a GenBank genome assembly. NCBI's taxonomy places the organism in Eukaryota, Metazoa, Chordata, Lepidosauria, Squamata, Phrynosomatidae.
GACAGCGUGGUGUAAUGGUUUGAGCAUUGGACUAUGACUCUGGAGACCAGGGUUUGAAUCCCAGCUAAGCCA